Molecule: ribosomal RNA, 253 nt
Filed under: uncultured bacterium
Lineage: Bacteria
Description: partial 16S ribosomal RNA
Rfam family: Bacterial small subunit ribosomal RNA
Source: RNAcentral
GACGAACUGUGCAAACGUUAUUCGGAAUCACUGGGCUUAAAGGGUGCGUAGGCGGUCUGUUAAGUAGGGUGUGAAAGCCUCUGGCUCAACCAGAGAAUUGCGCCCUAAACUGUCAGGCUUGAGUGAGGUAGGGGUGUGUGGAACUUCCAGUGGAGCGGUGAAAUGUGUUGAUAUCGGAAGGAACGCCGGUGGCGAAAGCGACACACUGGAUCUUGUCUGACGCUGAGGCACGAAAGCCAGGGGAGCGAACGGG